Long non-coding RNA from Pteronotus mesoamericanus, 1401 nucleotides. RefSeq lists it as uncharacterized. Lineage: Eukaryota; Metazoa; Chordata; Mammalia; Chiroptera; Mormoopidae. The transcript is spliced from 3 exons. The record is from RefSeq and is a predicted model, not a curated record.
GGGGCGCCGGCGUCAGCGUGCGCGUCCGCGGGAGACCGGGCUCGCCGUCCGGCCAUAACUGGGUCUACCCCUGCUGGACAAGGGAACAGGAUGCAGGGCCUUCCUUCUGGAGAGCUGAGUGGCUCAGAGCUUCUGCCCCUUUGAGAGCGAAACCACCCACGUUUCUAGUCCCUCCUGGGACAGUGUGUCCUGCGAGCCCAGUCUCAAGGCUCUGGACUACAGCUAACAAGAUAUGUGUAAGAUCAAUGUGUGAGAACAGUAGCAACACUCACCUAAAGGACACAAAAGGAGACCCAAACCGAUGGAGUGAUGUACCGUCUUUCCGAGUGAGACAAUUCGACGUUAUAAAGAUGUCCAUUCUCUAACAUGAACCCCCAUGCCCCCAAAUGCUGUGCAUAUCCACUGAAAUUAUCAACAGCAUUAUUUUGUAAAAUGGAGUGAGUAAAUUAUAAGAUUUACAUGAAAGAUAAAAAGGUCAUGGUAAAGAAAAUUCUGUAGGAAAAAAAGAAGGGACGUUUGCUCCACCGGAUAUAAAAAAACUAAAAAGUUAUGCCAACGGACAGAGUGCGGUGUGGGCCGAGAGCCACAGCUCGUGGGCGGAGCGGAGGCCGAGGCAGGCGAUGCCCGGAGCUGCUCCCCUUCAGACCAGGGUCACCGUGACACGGGAACAGAAAGAGCACCCCAGGUGCCGCUGCUCGCCCCACACCCACACGGGAGGGCUGAGCCACCUGCGUGUGCCCUGUCUGGCAGCCCAUCCCAGAUGGCGGCUGGACCCUGGGACCUGGUAGACAACAGGAAGCCUCCCUGGCAGGAAGGGGGUGGGAGGUGGCUGUGGCCCUGUCUUCCCACCUGGGGCCACCGUGCUCCCAGAGGCCCUGGGGCGCUGUGGCUCCGGAGCUGGCCGCGCAGCCUGUUGGGUCCGCCUGCAGGUGACUGGAGCUGAGCUGUUCCUCCCCCAAGAGAAUAACACAGUGACGUUCAAGCUGUGAGGCAGGUGGUGUUGCAAGUCUGUGAGAAAGGGCACUGGACAAACACCUCAUGCCAUGUGCAAAACAAAUGCAGAAGGACCAAAGUGCUAACCAUUAAAAAACUGGAAAAAAGUAUGGAAAGAAAUGCGGGAAAAUAUUUUGUAAUUUGGGUGGGAAAUGCUUUUCUUGAAAGCAAAGACUGAAAUCCAUACAAAGGAAACACUUCUGGGUGACGAAAGACACUGGUAACCAAGUCGUCGGUUCAGCAAUAGGCUGGAGGGAUAUAUAGCAUGUUAGACACAGGAUUAUUAGAUGUUAUAGAGAGAAUAUAAAAGUAGUUUAUACAAAUUGAAAGACAAAAGAUAAUUCAGUAACAAAAUAGUUAAAUAACACGAACAAAUCAUCUUCAGGGAAAAAAUACAAAUAACUACUA